UCCAGUUUAUCACUGGCAGUUUCCUUAGAGUGCCCGGCAUAACCCGCUGGUAACUAAGGAUAAGGGUUGCGCUCGUUGCGGGACUUAACCCAACAUCUCACGACACGAGCUGACGACAGCCAUGCAACACCUGUGAUGGUCCGGCCGAACCGACUUACAGGUUUCCCUGUAAUACGACCACCAUGUCAAGGCCUGGUAAGGUUUUUCGCGUAGCAUCGAAUUAAACCGCAUGUUCCACCGCUUGUGCGGGUCCCCGUCAAUUCCGUUUGAGUUUUAGUCUUGCGACCGUACUUCCCAGGCGGAGUGCUUAACGUGUUAACUACGACACCAAAAUCAAGUUCUGAUAUCUAGCACUCAUCGUUUAGGGCGUGGACUAC
RNAcentral lists this unclassified non-coding RNA (377 nucleotides) under uncultured Candidatus Midichloriaceae bacterium. RNAcentral's name for it is "contains 16S-23S intergenic spacer region". The record is from RNAcentral. Lineage: Bacteria; Pseudomonadati; Pseudomonadota; Alphaproteobacteria; Rickettsiales; Candidatus Midichloriaceae.